GAUGAACGCUGGCGGCGUGCCUAAUACAUGCAAGUCGAGCGAACAGACGAGGAGCUUGCUCCUUUGACGUUAGCGGCGGACGGGUGAGUAACACGUGGGUAACCUACCUAUAAGACUGGGAUAACUUCGGGAAACCGGAGCUAAUACCGGAUAAUAUUUCGAACCGCAUGGUUCGAUAGUGAAAGAUGGCUUUGCUAUCACUUAUAGAUGGACCUGCGCCGUAUUAGCUAGUUGGUAAGGUAACGGCUUACCAAGGCAACGAUACGUAGCCGACCUGAGAGGGUGAUCGGCCACACUGGAACUGAGACACGGUCUAGACUCCUACGGGAGGCAGCAGUAGGGAAUCUUCCGCAAUGGGCGAAAGCCUGACGGAGCAACGCCGCGUGAGUGAUGAAGGUCUUCGGAUCGUAAAACUCUGUUAUUAGGGAAGAAUAAACGUGUAAGUAACUGUGCACGUCUUGACGGUACCUAAUCAGAAAGCCACGGCUAACUACGUG
Molecule: ribosomal RNA, 497 nt
Filed under: uncultured bacterium
Lineage: Bacteria
Description: partial 16S ribosomal RNA
Rfam family: Bacterial small subunit ribosomal RNA
Source: RNAcentral